AAGACCUUAUGCUUUUGGAGCGGCCGAUGUCUGAUUAGCUAGUUGGUAAGGUAAUGGCUUACCAAGGCGACGAUCAGUAGUUGGUCUGAGAGGACGACCAGCCACACUGGGACUGAGACACGGCCCAGACUCCUACGGGAGGCAGCAGUGGGGAAUUUUGGACAAUGGGCGCAAGCCUGAUCCAGCAAUGCCGCGUGAGUGAAGAAGGCCCUCGGGUUGUAAAGCUCUUUCAGUCGAGAAGAAAAGGUUGUGACUAAUAAUCAUAACUCAUGACGGUAUCGACAGAAGAAGCACCGGCUAACUACGUGCCAGCAGCCGCGGUAAUACGUAGGGUGCGAGCGUUAAUCGGAAUUACUGGGCGUAAAGGGUGCGCAGGCGGUUCUGUAAGUCAGAUGUGAAAUCCCCGGGCUUAACCUGGGAACU
Molecule: ribosomal RNA, 423 nt
Filed under: uncultured bacterium
Lineage: Bacteria
Description: bacterial SSU rRNA
Rfam family: Bacterial small subunit ribosomal RNA
Source: RNAcentral